RNAcentral lists this ribosomal RNA (406 nucleotides) under uncultured bacterium. RNAcentral describes it as "partial 16S ribosomal RNA". It matches the Rfam family "Bacterial small subunit ribosomal RNA", at positions 30 to 526 of the family's 1533-position model. The record is from RNAcentral.
AUUGAACGCUGGCGGCAGGCCUAACACAUGCAAGUCGAGCGAGCGGCGGACGGGUUCGUAAUGUCUGGGAAACUUCCUGAUGGAGGGGGAUAACUCCUGGAAACGGUAGCUAAUACCGCAUACCAUCAGAUGUGCCCAGAUGGGAUUAGCUCGUGGGUGGGGUAACGGCUCACCUAGGCGACGAUCCCUAGCUGGUCUGAGAGGAUGACCCGCCACACUGGAACUGAGACACGGUCCAGACGCCUACGGGAGGCAGCAGUGGGGAAUAUUGCACAAUGGGGGCAAGCCUGAUGCAGCCAUGCCGCGUGUGUGAAGAAGGCCUUCGGGUUGUAAAGCACUUUCAGCGGGGAGGCGUGACCCGCAGAAGAAGCACCGGCUAACUCCGUGCCAGCCGCCGCGGUAAUUC